RNAcentral lists this non-coding RNA (181 nucleotides) under zebrafish metagenome. The record is from RNAcentral.
GUUAAUAGGUUCCCUUUUAGGGAUUAAUAAGGAAUUGGGUGUUUUCCAUAACUUUUGGACAAAUCCCAAGCUACCCCCGUAACUGUAAUCAGUUUGUUUUGCAUCAAUGCCACUGAAAGUUCUCUUUUGGGAAGGUUUGUAAAGCGCGCGCUGAAAGCCAGGAGACUUGCCUUUAAUAAUU